UAGGGGAUAUUGCACAAUGGGCGAAAGCCUGAUGCAGCGACGCCGCGUGGGGGAUGAAGGCUUUCGGGUUGUAAACCUCUUUCGCUAUCGAACAAGGCCCGCUUAGGGUGGGUUGAGGGUAGGUGGAGAAGAAGCGCCGGCUAACUACGUGCCAGCAGCCGCGGUAAUACGUAGGGCGCGAGCGUUGUCCGGAAUUAUUGGGCGUAAAGGGCUUGUAGGCGGCUUGUUGCGCCUGCUGUGAAAACGCGGGGCUUAACUUCGCGCGUGCAGUGGGUACGGGCAGGCUUGAGUGUGGUAGGGGUGACUGGAAUUCCAGGUGUAGCGGUGGAAUGCGCAGAUAUCUGGAGGAACACCGAUGGCGAAGGCAGGUCACUGGGCCAUUACUGACGCUGAGGAGCGAAAGCAUGGGUAGCGAACAGG
Molecule: ribosomal RNA, 420 nt
Filed under: bacterium
Lineage: Bacteria
Description: partial 16S ribosomal RNA
Rfam family: Bacterial small subunit ribosomal RNA
Source: RNAcentral